UUGAAUUCAAUUCAAAGAAAAACUCAGUAAGUAAACCUCCUGUUCUAUUAAAGUAAAGAGAAAUUUCCCAUUCAUUCUUUUAAGGUUCCGUUUUGGUUUAAGUUAAAAGACUGUUUGGUUUGAAUUAAAAAAAAGAAUGAGGCCUUUGGUCAAUAAAUAAAAAUUCAAUUACAAAUUAACAGGUUGAUAAGAAUUUCGGAUUCUUUUUUAUUGAAAAUUAAAAUAUAUUAAUAUAUUCGUAAUUAUUUCGAAAUAUAUAGUUUCAAAAAACAAAAUACCCUUUUCUUUUGAACAAAAAAGAAUAAAAAAUGAAACUAUCCAAUAAUUGUGCUUAGAGCAAUUCACACCUAAUAGAUUAGGAUUUUA
This 366-nucleotide long non-coding RNA is filed under the name Gossypium barbadense (sea-island cotton). Its description in RNAcentral is "long non-coding RNA (GBAR_LNC008942)". Lineage: Eukaryota; Viridiplantae; Streptophyta; Magnoliopsida; Malvales; Malvaceae. The record is from RNAcentral.